Molecule: transfer RNA, 67 nt
Filed under: Toxodera sp.
Lineage: Eukaryota; Metazoa; Arthropoda; Insecta; Mantodea; Toxoderidae
Description: tRNA-Asp
Source: RNAcentral
AAGAGGUUAGUUAAAUCAUAACAUUAAUAUGUCAUAUUAAAAUAAUUAUUAUCAAUAAUACAUCUUU